UGUGCUAAAAAAAUUAACAAGAAGCAAAACAAAGGAAAGAUUUAACUGAUUGUGAGCACUUAAAGCCAGGAGUUGUGUGACAUCAUUUAGGCUUCUGACAUAUCAAUAGAGCAGCUAUGUGACAUGUAUGUAUGAAAAUUACUUUGUGGAUAAUCAACUCAAUGGUUAUCUGCUCCACACACCUUCCUUUAGAAAAUGUUGAUAUUGAACUUUGUCACUGCAAUCUUUUAACAAACAUUUCCAUUAUGACAAAGAGCAUGCAACAUUUUCUUCUAUAAAUGGUCAGUGAACUACUUUACUUUACUUUUAUAUUCCCGGGACCAUUUUAAUUUUAAAUUUUGUAAAAAUUGGCAUUCAGAGUUUGAUUUGUCUUGAUGUUCAUUUUGGAUUAAUUAGCCCUAUGUUAAUUAAGCACAAUAAAAUUAGGUUCAAAUUUUCUUUAUCAUAUAUAAUGUAAUAGAGAUAGCUGUAAAAGCAGAUUAUAAAUUAUGAAUUAUUGUAAA
Molecule: long non-coding RNA, 503 nt
Organism: Centruroides sculpturatus (bark scorpion)
Lineage: Eukaryota; Metazoa; Arthropoda; Arachnida; Scorpiones; Buthidae
Exons: 3
Source: RefSeq, a predicted model, not a curated record